AUUGAACGCUGGCGGCAGGCCUAACACAUGCAAGUCGAACGGUAACAGGAAGAUGCUUGCUUCUUUGCUGACGAGUGGCGGACGGGUGAGUAAUGUCUGUGAAACUUCCUGAUGGAGGGGGAUAACUACUGGAAACGGUAGCUAAUACCGCAUAACGUCGCAAGACCAAAGAGGGGGACCUUCGGGCCUCUUGCCUUCGGAUGGGCCCAGAUGGGAUUAGCUAGUAGGUGGGGUAACGGCUCACCUAGGCGACGAUCCGUAGCUGGUCUGAGAGGAUGACCAGCCACACUGGAACUGAGACACGGUCCAGACUCCUACGGGAGGCAGCAGUGGGGAAUAUUGCACAAUGGGCGAAAGCCUGAUGCAGCCAUGCCGCGUGUAUGAAGAAGGCCUUCGGGUUGUAAAGUACUUUCAGCGGGGAGGAAGGGAGGAAAGUUAAUACCUUUACUCAUUGACGUUACCUGCAGAAGAAGCACCGGCUAACUCCGUG
RNAcentral lists this ribosomal RNA (490 nucleotides) under uncultured bacterium. Its description in RNAcentral is "partial 16S ribosomal RNA". It matches the Rfam family "Bacterial small subunit ribosomal RNA", at positions 30 to 507 of the family's 1533-position model. The record is from RNAcentral.